Molecule: ribosomal RNA, 16 nt
Filed under: Ceratocystiopsis ranaculosa
Lineage: Eukaryota; Fungi; Ascomycota; Sordariomycetes; Ophiostomatales; Ophiostomataceae
Also listed under: 16 other names
Description: partial 28S large subunit ribosomal RNA
Source: RNAcentral
UGACCUCGGAUCAGGU